GGAUGUGAGGGCGAUCUGGCUGCAACAUCUGUCACCCCAUUGAUCGCCAGGGUGAUUUGGCUGAUCUGGCUGGCUAGGUGGGUGUCCCCUUCCUCCCUCACCGCUCCAUGUGCGUCCCUCCCGAAGCUGCGCACUCGGUCGAAGAGGACGACCUUCCCCGCUAGAGGAGGACUGGUCUUUGGGUUCGGUCAAGGGUAUACAAGUAGCUGCGCUCCCCUGCUAGAACCUCCAAACAAGCUCACAUCUUUCUCUGCAUCAGAAAAUUCAUACUAGGGAGAAACCCUAUGAAUAUAAUCAAUGUGGCAAAGCCUUUAUU
Molecule: small nuclear RNA, 316 nt
Filed under: Microcebus murinus (gray mouse lemur)
Lineage: Eukaryota; Metazoa; Chordata; Mammalia; Primates; Cheirogaleidae
Description: 7SK RNA (ENSMICG00000022822.3)
Rfam family: 7SK RNA
About the family: 7SK was discovered as an abundant small nuclear RNA in the mid-70s but a possible function has only recently been suggested.
Source: Rfam by way of RNAcentral